UACAGAGGUCCCGAGCGUUGUUCGGAUUCACUGGGCGUAAAGGGUGCGCAGGUGGGCUGGUAAGUUCGAUGUGAAAGCCCCGGGCUUAACCCGGGAAAGGCAUUGGAUACUACUGGUCUGGAGGAUUGGAGGGGGGACUGGAAUUCUUGGUGUAGCAGUGAAAUGCGUAGAUAUCAAGAGGAACACCAGUGGCGAAGGCGAGUCCCUGGACAAUACCUGACACUGAGGCACGAAAGCCAAGGGAGCAAACAGG
This 253-nucleotide ribosomal RNA is filed under the name uncultured bacterium. Its description in RNAcentral is "partial 16S ribosomal RNA". It matches the Rfam family "Bacterial small subunit ribosomal RNA", at positions 524 to 776 of the family's 1533-position model. The record is from RNAcentral.